GCUCAGGUGGUGGAAUUUGGUAGACACAGCAGACUUAGAAUCUGCCGACUGAAAGGUCAUGAGGGUUCGAGUCCCUCCUUGAGCA
Molecule: transfer RNA, 85 nt
Filed under: Streptomyces tamarix
Lineage: Bacteria; Bacillati; Actinomycetota; Actinomycetes; Kitasatosporales; Streptomycetaceae
Description: tRNA-Leu
Rfam family: tRNA
About the family: Transfer RNA (tRNA) molecules are approximately 80 nucleotides in length. Their secondary structure includes four short double-helical elements and three loops (D, anti-codon, and T loops).
Source: RNAcentral